UGUUUAACAAACUAAAAACAAUAAAAAUAUAUGAUUAUGUCAUUGAGUUUAAUAAUAAUAACACUUAAUAAUAUAAUAUGUGUAAUAUAUUGCUUAUUAUAUGAUAAGUACAUGUUUUCUAUUCGUCUUUUUCUUUGAUCGAUAUUACAGAGUAAACAUGAGUAGGUACGUCUAAGCUAACUAUGCAGUAAAUUCAGAAUAACAAAGUUAGGUAUGUAUGCCAUUAUACAGGGCAUGUUUUAACAGCGAUUUGAUAGUACACUAUAAUUAUAGUGAAAUUAUGAUUGAAUUCAUUGAUUAAUUCGCCAUGCACUUUUGCAGCUCACUGUACCUAAUCAUGACAUUUGCAUUAUUAGCUUUUAAAUUUUAUGCAUAGUUAGCUUAGUCUAACAAUUUGAGAUUUACUAAUUCAAGUUACAUAAUAUUAGCAAACAUAAUCAUUUUACAUAGUGUAUGAACAUUGAGGUCUACGUUUCCUUUGAAACUUUUAUUAAACGCAUUUUGAUAAAAAAUACUUGAAGAACGUCGUUCUCGGCGGCAAAGGCGAGACGACAAUUAGUCCGUCAGUUAGAUUAUCAAAGAAUUUAAGACACGUAUUUUUUUCUUUUUUUCUCGUAAACUAAAAAUGAUAAAAGUUGUUCAUUAUAACCUCAAACGUCACUAUUUAAAGUUGGAACGGUCCUUUUAUUUCACCUGUAUAUUAUACAUUCAAAACAUAACAAUUAUAAAAUCAUUCUGCUAUUUCAUUUUCAAAUCCUAAAAGAGCCUAAUUAAUUAUUUACAUUAAAUUAAUAUUGAGUAAAUGUUUCUAUUAUAGUUACUUACACAUAUGGAAGAACAGUUUCUUAGUAUUAAAGCAUAUGUACAAACGAUAUUAUAAGUCACGAAGUCUUUUAUCGAACUACAUAUUAUAUUUAUGAAACAUAAAAGAAUAAAGAGAGACUAACGGUCAGUUUCUGUCUACGAUCUAUACUCGACAAUGCGUGGAUAAGUUAAAAUAUCAAUUUAAAAAAACUUUCCACAAAUACCUUCAAAACCUAUUUCCUCCAAUGCCAUUAAAUAAAAUAAAAAAAUAAAAGUAUCUCGAAACCCGUGUACUUACCAACAUGCUAAUUAAAUAUUAAGAGAAAAUAAUAACUUGACUUCGACCCAAUAUCGAUUCCAACUAGCCCAUGCAUUAAUAUCUGUACUGUCGUAAAUACAAGGUCGAUUCUACCACAAUCGUUGUAGGCUGGACUGAAUAUUCUCGAAUAUUAAAUUGUAUUUGUUCUAUAAAGUAGGGUAAGGCCUUUUCACGUUAAAAAAUAUUAUCAAGAGAGAAAUUCUUUGAGAGUUAGGUCUUUUUAGUUCUUUUAGAUAUUAAGGUUUUUAAAGACAAGGUUGACGAAGUGAAUUUUACAGUUUGACAAGGCCGGGUGAUGAAGAAAUAUAGCCAAUAAUUGUUAGAUUAUGGGGUCAAUGUUUAUCCUAAAAACCUCAAAAGCUAAAUAAGCAGUGGGGAAGUAUUUUUAGCUUUUUCUUUGAAGGUUGUCCUUGUUACCGAAAUACCACAGUACUUUUUGUUUACUAAAUGGGCAAAUCAAUUUUUGACUGGCAAUUUUGAGUGUCAUUGGCGUUACUUGAAAUGUCUCUGGAGUUACCAAGAAAUCGAACUUCAAUUGAACAAAGUUUCAGUUUAAUAGGUAGUUAGGUAUACCU
This is a long non-coding RNA of Leguminivora glycinivorella, 1698 nucleotides long. RefSeq lists it as uncharacterized. NCBI's taxonomy places the organism in Eukaryota, Metazoa, Arthropoda, Insecta, Lepidoptera, Tortricidae. The transcript has 3 exons. The record is from RefSeq and is a predicted model, not a curated record.